CCGAGUUUAUAACUCCCAAACCCCUGUGAACAUACCACUUGUUGCCUCGGCGGAUCAGCCCGCUCCCGGUAAAACGGGACGGCCCGCCAGAGGACCCCUAAACUCUGUUUCUAUAUGUAACUUCUGAGUAAAACCAUAAAUAAAUCA
Molecule: unclassified non-coding RNA, 147 nt
Filed under: soil metagenome
Description: partial internal transcribed spacer 1
Source: RNAcentral